UACGGGGGGAGCAAGCGUUGUUCGGAUUUACUGGGCGUAAAGGGCGCGUAGGCGGCCUCUGCAAGUCGACUGUGAAAUCUCCGGGCUUAACCCGGAAAGGUCAGCCGAUACUGCAGGGCUAGAGUGCAGAAGGGGCAACUGGAAUUCUCGGUGUAGCGGUGAAAUGCGUAGAUAUCGAGAGGAACACCUGCGGCGAAGGCGGGUUGCUGGGCUGACACUGACGCUCAUGCACGAAAGCGUGGGGAGCAAACAGG
RNAcentral lists this ribosomal RNA (254 nucleotides) under uncultured bacterium. RNAcentral's name for it is "partial 16S ribosomal RNA". It matches the Rfam family "Bacterial small subunit ribosomal RNA", at positions 524 to 776 of the family's 1533-position model. The record is from RNAcentral.